RNAcentral lists this ribosomal RNA (446 nucleotides) under uncultured bacterium. RNAcentral describes it as "bacterial SSU rRNA". It matches the Rfam family "Bacterial small subunit ribosomal RNA", at positions 29 to 507 of the family's 1533-position model. The record is from RNAcentral.
AAUCAACGCUGGCGGCGCGCUUAACACAUGCAAGUCGAACGAGAAAGUGGAGCAAUCCAUGAGUAAAGUGGCGCACGGGUGAGUAACACGUGGGUAAUUUACCUCCUUGUGGGGAAUAACCCUGGGAAACCGGGGCUAAUACCGCAUACGUCCGAGAGGAGAAAGCCGAAAGGCGCAGGGAGAGAAGCCCGCGGCCGAUUAGCUAGUUGGUAGGGUAAUGGCCUACCAAGGCGACGAUCGGUAGCCGGCCUGAGAGGGCACACGGCCACACUGGCACUGAAACACGGGCCAGACUCCUACGGGAGGCAGCAGUGGGGAAUCUUGCACAAUGGGGGAAACCCUGAUGCAGCGACGCCGCGUGAACGAUGAAGCCCUUCGGGUGUAAAGUUCUUUCGACGGGGACGAUAAUGACGGUACCCGGAGAAGAAGCUGCGGCUAACUACGUG